This 1259-nucleotide long non-coding RNA is filed under the name Callithrix jacchus (white-tufted-ear marmoset). Its description in RNAcentral is "lncRNA (ENSCJAG00000062623.2)". Lineage: Eukaryota; Metazoa; Chordata; Mammalia; Primates; Cebidae. The record is from RNAcentral.
GGUAUUGCUGGGUCAAAUGGAAUUUCUGUUUCUAAGGCCUUGAGGAAUCGCCACACCAUCUUCCACAAUGGUUGGACUAAUUUACACUCCCACCAACAGUGUAAAAGUGUUCCUUUUUCUCCACAUCCUCUCCAGCAUCUGCUGUCUCCAGAUUUUUUAAUGAUCACCAUUCUAACUGGCGUGAGAUGGUAUCUCAAUGUGGUUUUGAUUUGCAUCUCUCUGAUGACCAGUGACAAUGAGCAUUUUUUCAUAUGAUUGUUGGCCUCAUAUAUGUCUUCUUUCGUAAAGUGUCUGCUCAUAUCCUUUGCCCACUUUUGAAUGGGCUUGUUUGUUUUUUUCCUGUAAAUCUUCAUAUGAUUGUUGGCCUCGUAUAUGUCUUCUUUCGUAAAGUAUCUGUUCAUAUCCUUUGCCCACUUUUGAAUGGGCUUGUUUGUUUUUUUCCUAUAAAUCUGUUUGAGUUCUUUGUAAAUUCUGGAUAUCAGCCCUUUGUCAGAUGGGUAGACUGCAAAAAUUUUUUCCCAUUCUGUUGGUUGCCGAUCCACUCUAGUGACUGUUUCGUUUGCCGUGCAGAAGCUGUGGAGUUUCAUUAGGUCCCAUUUGUCUAUUUUGGCUUUUGUUGCCAAUGCUUUUGGUGUUUUGUUCAUGAAGUCCUUGCCUACUCCUAUGUCCUGGAUGGUUUUGCCUAGAUUUCCUUCUAGGGUUGUUAUGGUGCCAGGUCUUAUGUUUAAGUCUUUAAUCCAUCUGGAGUUAAUUUUAGUGUAAGGUGUCAGGAAGGGGUCCAGUUUCUGCUUUCUGCACAUGGCUAGCCAGUUUUCCCAACACCAUUUGUUAAACAUGGAAUCCUUUCCCCAUUGCUUGUUUUUGUCGGGUUUAUCAAAGAUUGUAUAGUUGUAUGUAUGUUGUGUUGCCUCCGGUGCCUCUGUUUUGUUCCAUUGGUCUAUAUCUCUGUUUUGGUACCAGUACCAUGCUGUUUUGAUUACUGUAGCCUUGUAGUAUAGUUUGAAAUCCAGUAGUGUGAUGCCCCCCACUGUGUUCUUUUUGCUUAGAAUUGACUUGGCUAUGUGGGCUCUCUUUUGGUUCCAUAUGAAGUUCAUGGUGGUUUUUUCCCGUUCUGUGAAGAAAGUCAAUGGUAGCUUGAUGGGGAUAGCGUUGAUUCUGUAAAUUACUUUGGGCAGUAUAGCCAUUUUCACGAUAUUAAUUCUUCCUAACCAUGAACAUGGAAUGUUUCUCCAUCUGUUUGUGUCCUCUCUGAUUUCGUU